UACGUAGGUGGCAAGCGUUGUCCGGAUUUACUGGGCGUAAAGAGCGCGCAGGCGGUCGUUCAAGUCGCGUGUGAAAGCCCCCGGCUCAACUGGGGAGGGUCACGCGAUACUGAUCGACUCGAAGGCAGGAGAGGGUAGUGGAAUUCCCGGUGUAGUGGUGAAAUGCGUAGAGAUCGGGUGGAACACCAGCGGCGAAGGCGGCAUCCUGGCCCUGUACUGACGCUGAGGCGCGAUAGCGUGGGGAGCAAACGGG
Molecule: ribosomal RNA, 253 nt
Filed under: uncultured bacterium
Lineage: Bacteria
Description: partial 16S ribosomal RNA
Rfam family: Bacterial small subunit ribosomal RNA
Source: RNAcentral